RNAcentral lists this unclassified non-coding RNA (215 nucleotides) under uncultured Tylopilus. RNAcentral's name for it is "sequence contains ITS1". Lineage: Eukaryota; Fungi; Basidiomycota; Agaricomycetes; Boletales; Boletaceae. The record is from RNAcentral.
UCGAACGAACAAGAAAAGUCUUGGAAGAGGUGAAGGCGGGAUUGUCGCUGGCCAACUUGUGGGUGAUUCCGCUGGCAUGUGCAUGUGCACGUCCCCCUUCGCUUGUUUCAUCUCUUUUUCUCUACACCCGUGCACUCAUUGUAGGUCCUCGAGAGAGGAUCUAUGUUUUCCAUCCACCAUAAAGUAUGUUUGUAGAAGGUCAUGAUAAAUUUAUA